This 417-nucleotide RNase P RNA is filed under the name Gammaproteobacteria bacterium. Its description in RNAcentral is "RNase P RNA component class A". It matches the Rfam family "Bacterial RNase P class A". From Rfam's summary of the family: Ribonuclease P (RNase P) is a ubiquitous endoribonuclease, found in archaea, bacteria and eukarya as well as chloroplasts and mitochondria. Its best characterised activity is the generation of mature 5'-ends of tRNAs by cleaving the 5'-leader elements of precursor-tRNAs. Lineage: Bacteria; Pseudomonadati; Pseudomonadota; Gammaproteobacteria. The record is from RNAcentral.
AGAGUCAGCUGGACAAUUGCUGCCUGACCACCCGAUUGCAUGUUUUAAGCAAUAACUUGUUGGAAAUCCCACGUGCAAUGAGGUGGUCGGGUAGAGGAAAGUCCGGGCUCCGCAGAGCAGGGUGCCAGGUAACGCCUGGGGGGUGUGAACCUACGGCUAGUGCAACAGAAAAUAUACCUCUUUGUGAGGAAUCCUUAGGAUUUAUUGCAGAGUAAGGGUGAAAUGGUGCGGUAAGAGCGCACCGCGCGACUGGCAACAGUUUGUGGCUAUGUAAACCCCACCCGGAGCAAGGCCAAAUAGGAGUCUAAUAAUGUUGCUCGCAUUGGAUUCGGGUAGGCCGCUAGAAGCCUGUGGUGACACAGGUUGUAGAUGAAUAAUUGUCCUCGACAGAACCCGGCUUAUAGGCUGACUCAUUUU